GGAGGGACAGCUCAGUGGUAGAGCACGUGCCUAGCAUGCACAAGGUCCUGGGUUCCAUCCCUGGUACCUCUG
RNAcentral lists this transfer RNA (72 nucleotides) under Camelus bactrianus (Bactrian camel). It matches the Rfam family "tRNA". From Rfam's summary of the family: Transfer RNA (tRNA) molecules are approximately 80 nucleotides in length. Their secondary structure includes four short double-helical elements and three loops (D, anti-codon, and T loops). RNAcentral also lists the same sequence under 2 other names. The record is from Rfam by way of RNAcentral. Lineage: Eukaryota; Metazoa; Chordata; Mammalia; Artiodactyla; Camelidae.